AGAGUGAACGCUGGCGGUAGGCCUAACACAUGCAAGUCGAACGGCAGCACGGUAAGAGCUUGCUCUUAUGGGUGGCGAGUGGCGGACGGGUGAGGAAUACAUCGGAAUCUACCUUUUGGUGGGGGAUAACGUAGGGAAACUUACGCUAAUACCGCAUACGCCCUUCGGGGGAAAGCCGGGGACCAGCAAUGGCCUGGUGCUGAUAGAUGAGCCGAUGUCGGAUUAGCUAGUUGGUGAGGUAAUGGCUCACCAAGGCGACGAUCCGUAGCUGGUCUGAGAGGAUGAUCAGCCACACUGGAACUGAGACACGGUCCAGACUCCGUACGGGAGGCAGCAGUGGGGAAUAGUU
Molecule: ribosomal RNA, 349 nt
Filed under: uncultured soil bacterium
Lineage: Bacteria
Description: bacterial SSU rRNA
Rfam family: Bacterial small subunit ribosomal RNA
Source: RNAcentral